UACGGAGGGUGCAAGCGUUAUCCGGAUUCACUGGGUUUAAAGGGUGCGUAGGCGGGUAGGUAAGUCAGUGGUGAAAAUCUUCGAGCUUAACUCGGAAAACUGCCUUUGAUACUAUCUAUCUUGAAUAUUGUGGAGGUAAGCGGAAUAUGUCAUGUAGCGGUGAAAUGCUUAGAUAUGACAUAGAACACCUAUUGCGAAGGCAGCUUACUACGCAUAUAUUGACGCUGAGGCACGAAAGCGUGGGGAUCAAACAGG
RNAcentral lists this ribosomal RNA (255 nucleotides) under uncultured bacterium. RNAcentral's name for it is "partial 16S ribosomal RNA". It matches the Rfam family "Bacterial small subunit ribosomal RNA", at positions 524 to 776 of the family's 1533-position model. The record is from RNAcentral.